This 3257-nucleotide long non-coding RNA is filed under the name Elaeis guineensis (African oil palm). RNAcentral's name for it is "long non-coding RNA (EGUI_LNC036150)". The record is from RNAcentral. Lineage: Eukaryota; Viridiplantae; Streptophyta; Magnoliopsida; Arecales; Arecaceae.
UAUCAAUUAUUCAUUAAAUUUUUUUUGAAUAUUUAUAUAAGAUCAAAAAAUCCAACUAAAAUUUUUUGGUUAAUUUUUUUGAUGAGAUCCUAUAUUAUUAUAAAUAUUAUCAGAGCUAUGGUUAUGAGCACUAGGGACUAUGACUUAAGUGGUAUUAAAAUUUGAAUUUGUGAUUACUAGAGAUUGUGAUAGAAACAAUAUUAGAAAUAUAGGUUUAUUUAUAAGGAUUUCUCUAGGAAUAAGAUAUAUUGAGUGCAGACGGGACAGUUAUCGGACAUUAAGAUAUAAUAUUUAUUUAUAAUGCUAUAUAUAAUCAAUAAACUAACAUUCUGAUUUAUUUGAAAUUUUGCAAUGAACUCAUAAUAAUGUUUCAGUGUAAAUUGGGAAUAGCAUCAAUGGUGUUAUGAAAACAAUGAUUAUAGACUUAUAGUAUUGGGAAAGUGUUCAUACGGUGAUAUUCCGUUAACAUGUUAGAUGUCGUUUGUCAUUGUUUAAGUAAUUUAAAUGAUUUUUGUGUUCACUAUUUAGCAAAAUGAAUGGAUCAAAAGAGCACAGCUGAAGCAUGAUGGAUUUAUAACUCAAGUUAUAUGAAGAUUUUUGACAUAUGAUUCUAUUAUGAUUAAAAUAGAACAUAAUCAGUUUAUAUAUAUUUAUAAUCUAGUUAAAGUUCAUCUUCACACACACACAUAGAAAUAUAUAUACAUACGUGUGCGUGCAUGCGUGCGUGUGUGUAUAAUGUAAUUAAUUUUCUGCAGUAGUAAUUAUAGAAAAUGGAGAUGAUCGAGUUAUCUCAAAAAAUUAUUUUAGUUGAGGUAAUAAGAAAGCUAGGCCUGUCUCAUUUUGUACAUGGAUAAAGCUAGGACUGUCUCAACUAGUAUAUGGAUAUGAACAAAAUCAAAGACAGUGCACCAAAGAUCGUAUAAUAUAGUGGUGAGUAGAGGGGACAACCCUAUGAAGUUGUAAGGCAAUGGGGGUGCAGUGGUGCGGAGCAACUGGAAUUAGAAGAAACAGCUGCCACUCACGCUUUCACACCCUUAAAAGAUGAUUUAGUGUAGAAAUUAAAGAUGUGAAUUAUUUUGAUAAAAAAUAUUAUAAAUAUGCAUAUCAAAGGAUGAAUGCUAGCUAUAAAGAUUUGCAAGUAGAAUACCAGCAUCUGAGAUGAAAGAAUGAUUUAUUAAUGAAUAGACAUUAAAAAAAAAAUGAAUGAGGCUACUAAACUGUGCCGUGAAGUAUGCAGACAUACGCUCCAUCCAGAUGCUGAGUCUUCGGGGGCAAAGAAUUCGAUAUAGAAAAAAAGAAGGAAGUGGAACAAAAAAAAGGAUAUAAUUUAUUAUUUCACAAAAUGAGUGUUUAUGUCUUAUGCAAUAUUUUCAUUACUGGACUUGACUUGCAUUGGAAUUUAUAUGCUAAAUGAUUUAGUAGCCUGAUAAACUUCAAACUAUAGUGUUGAAAACUUUUGUAGUUAGUUAAGUAUCUAUGUAUAUUUUGAAGAAUGUUUAAAGUGAUGAUUAUAGCCGAAGGGUUUGAUACAUGAACAUAUUUCUUUAGUAGGCAUGGUAUAUUUGAGGUAAUUUCUAAAUUAAUAUUUUACAGCAUAAUUUAGAACAAGUUAAAAAUUUUGUUUGGAGGAUAAUAAAAAAAGAAAGUGAUUAGCAAUUACAUUUGUACAGCAAUAGUGGAAUGAAUCUGACAAACACAGGUAUCAUGAUGUGAUCAUACUUAGAAGUUACAAGAGCAAUGGAGAUAUAGUAUAUCCGGAUUUUAUUCAAACUUUAGAAUAUAAAUUUCGAGGACAAAAUUUAUGUAAAGAAAGGAGAAUGAAAAACCCGAGCCCAAGGCUCAUUAUUUUGGACAGGGCUAGUCACUUGAGCCACAUGAGGACUGCAUGUUGUGGGCCAUGGUAUGUUCUUGGCAUCUAUGUGCGAUCCCAAAUGGAGGAAGAAGAAGAUGGAUCAUGAUUUUAGGGUUGAAGGGUGACCUUUGUGGGAGAAAUAGAGCAUCAUUUGUUUUGAUCUUCCUCACCGACGACCAAAAUUCUGACUUAUCUACCUCAUUCUCUCCAACCUUUUGCCCUUAAUCUAUUCCUUUCUCUCUCUUGCUCGUUCCUUUGUAUCUCUCUCUCACAUCUCUUUGUCUCUCUCCAAUUCCAUGUUCUUAAUCCCUUCUCAUUAAAUUAAAUAGAGAAAGGAAAUAGGUCCUAAAGUCUUUCCUCUCUUAUUUCUCUUCUCCUCCCACCACUUAUCAUCUCAUCUCUUAUCUAUCGUCUCUUUCUUUCUUUGUGAAACUACGCAAAAAAUCAAAAGGAGAAUUAUGAGGAUAAGGUGUUAGCCUAUUGAAGCUAAUGUCAAGGUAAACCCAAAUCCCUUCGUUGAACUUAAUUUCAGAUUUUAAGAUUAACCUGGAAUGGUCUAGGAUAAGAGAUGAUGUAGUUUCUGAUAUUUUAGAAAGAUGAGAUAGGAAUGGAUUUGGAGGAAAGGAAUCGAUGUUAAUCUAGAACGGACAAAUUCUGCUAAUCCAAUAAUUUUAACUCUUAAUUUCAAUCUAAAAAUUUAAUUAAGAGUUGUUAACUCAUUAGUUAAUCAAUUUGCAAAAUCUAGGAAUUUUUGAAUAUGGUUAGCUAGAAUAAAUAAAUUAUAGAAUAGGACCGACAUGUGGGGAAUGACAUUUAAUAAGAGAUUUGAAAUUUCAAAAUUUUGAAGAAUUUUAAAAAUUAUUAUAAAAUAGUAGCAUGGAAUUGAUUUGAGAUAUGUGUAUGAUUUUGGGAUUAUUAGGUUCCAAAGGAUUCAAGUGAGGCAUUUGGGUAAUUUAGUAGUGGGCUGUUGCAAGGUAAGUAAUAUUUGCACUUUAUAUUAAUUGAUUAGAAUUAAAUAGAAAUUAUUUUAUUUUUCAUUGUUAUGAUUUUCAGAUUUACUUGUAUAUAAUAUCUCUAUAAAUAUGGAUACCUAAUUGAUAAUUUUAAUUCUGUGAAUUAAAUAGGAUAAUGAUACCUAUUAUGAUUGGAUCGAGCAUGUAAAAUUUUGAAUAUUGCAUUGUUUAAUUGUAUGUUUCAAAGCUAUAUCCAAAAGAAAAGAAAUAUUUCAAUUAUAUAUAUGUGUGUGUAUGUGUGCAUAUGUCAUCUGUCAUCUGACUCUCAAUCCUACUAUAUAUGAGUCCAGAUUAGAUUGUAUAGUGAUCCCCACUAUAGGGGCGAUCAUGGUGAUGCCCCACCAAAGGGAUAUAGAGCGGUGACCGAUCAUAAUGAUCCCUACCACAAGGGA